UGGGUCCGCGUCUCAUUAGCUAGUUGGUGAGGUAAUGGCUCACCAAGGCGACGAUCAGUAGCUGGUCUGAGAGGAUGAUCAGCCACACUGGGACUGAGACACGGCCCAGACUCCUACGGGAGGCAGCAGUGGGGAAUAUUGGACAAUGGGCGCAAGCCUGAUCCAGCCAUGCCGCGUGAGUGACGAAGGUCUUCGGAUUGUAAAGCUCUUUUGGCGGGGACGAUAAUGACGGUACCCGCAGAAUAAGCCCCGGCUAACUUCGUGCCAGCAGCCGCGGUAAU
RNAcentral lists this ribosomal RNA (281 nucleotides) under uncultured Alphaproteobacteria bacterium. RNAcentral's name for it is "partial 16S ribosomal RNA". It matches the Rfam family "Bacterial small subunit ribosomal RNA", at positions 226 to 524 of the family's 1533-position model. The record is from RNAcentral. Lineage: Bacteria; Pseudomonadati; Pseudomonadota; Alphaproteobacteria.